AUUGAACGCUGGCGGCAGGCCUAACACAUGCAAGUCGAACGGUAACAGGAAACAGCUUGCUGUUUCGUUGACGAGUGGCGGACGGGUGAGUAAUGUCUGGGAAACUGCCUGAUGGAGGGGGAUAACUACUGGAAACGGUAGCUAAUACCGCAUAACGUCGCAGGACCAAAGAGGGGGACCUUCGGGCCUCUUGCCAUCGGAUGUGCCCAGAUGGGAUUAGCUAGUAGGUGGGGUAACGGCUCACCUAGGCGACGAUCCCUAGCUGGUCUGAGAGGAUGACCAGCCACACUGGAACUGAGACACGGGCCAGACUCCUACGGGAGGCAGCAGUGGGGAAUAUUGCACAAUGGGCGCAAGCCUGAUGCAGCCAUGCCGCGUGUAUGAAGAAGGCCUUCGGGUUGUAAAGUACUUUCAGCGGGGAGGAAGGGAGUAAAGUUAAUACCUUUGCUCAUCGACGUUACCCGCAGAAGAAGCACCGGCUAACUCCGUGCCAGCCGCCGCAGUAA
RNAcentral lists this ribosomal RNA (506 nucleotides) under uncultured bacterium. RNAcentral describes it as "partial 16S ribosomal RNA". It matches the Rfam family "Bacterial small subunit ribosomal RNA", at positions 30 to 523 of the family's 1533-position model. The record is from RNAcentral.